Molecule: ribosomal RNA, 253 nt
Filed under: uncultured bacterium
Lineage: Bacteria
Description: partial 16S ribosomal RNA
Rfam family: Bacterial small subunit ribosomal RNA
Source: RNAcentral
UACGUAGGGUGCGAGCGUUGUCCGGAAUUAUUGGGCGUAAAGGGCUCGUAGGCGGUCUGUCACGUCGGGAGUGAAAACUCAGGGCUUAACCCUGAGCCUGCUUCCGAUACGGGCAGACUAGAGGUAUGCAGGGGAGAACGGAAUUCCUGGUGUAGCGGUGAAAUGCGCAGAUAUCAGGAGGAACACCGGUGGCGAAGGCGGCCCGCUGGCCAGCGACUGACGCUGAGACGCGAAAGCGUGGGGAGCAAACAGG